GUAGAUAGGCAAGGCACCACGACCAUAAUAUUCGACUCCGGGAGAGCACGGGUAAGUUAAUUUGAAGUAGUCAUCACAGUAAUCUUGGCUAGGACUCAAUUCCUUGUUAUAGCAAAGGCCCCAAGCCAAUGGUCCACCGGUGGCAACUCCGUAACCACAAGAAGUUUUGCUACCAACAUGACCAAGAAAAGCAGCAAUUUCUUUCAUCUGCAUAAAUUUACCACCAGUAGUACCAAAACCAAGAGGUUGAAAAAGAGCUGAAGCAAUUAUAAAAGAUUUAUAAUCCCAAAAACCAGCAGAAUGAGCUACAGGUGAAUUCCUCUUUGAAAACAAAUUCUCAAACUGAUAAGUUUCAAAAAAAUCAGAAAUUGUCAAAUUACAACAAAAUCUUGACAAUACAUUACAUUCCCAAUCUUUAACACACAUUUUUUUACCCUUUACCAUUUUCACUAAUAUUGGUGGCUUAGAUGAUGAUUCAUUUUCAUUUUCAUUUUCAUCCCCUUUUGCAAUUGCAGAAAUUGAAAGCAUUAUUACCAUAAAUCCUAACACUUUCAUCUUUAAAGCUGACAUUUUUAUCACUCAAAAUGAAAAUUUUGAAAUUUGAAAACUGAAAAAAUUGAGAAUUUAGUGAAUUGGGAAGAUGAAUUUGUGGUUUUUGAGAUUUGGGUAUGGAUCAAAAUUGGAUUUUUUGCUCUUUUUAUAUAUUUUCU
RNAcentral lists this unclassified non-coding RNA (710 nucleotides) under Hevea brasiliensis (rubber tree). Lineage: Eukaryota; Viridiplantae; Streptophyta; Magnoliopsida; Malpighiales; Euphorbiaceae. The record is from RNAcentral.